This 1890-nucleotide long non-coding RNA is filed under the name Olea europaea subsp. europaea. Lineage: Eukaryota; Viridiplantae; Streptophyta; Magnoliopsida; Lamiales; Oleaceae. The record is from RNAcentral.
CUUUUUAGUUGAAGGUUCAAUAAACAAGAUGGCUGUAAAUUUACGAAGCCAAGUACAAAUGGAUAAUCUAAAAGCUAAUUUACAAGUAACAAUCAACAUUCAAAAUAAGAGUUGAAAUAUAGCACUUCAUAGAUUAACGUAAUUUACAAACAUAGUUUACAUGCCUUCGCUCAAAAUAGUCCGACCUCAUACAAAAGAUUAUGUAAUAACUACUACUUCAAUUAAUAGCUACUAAUUAGGUCCGACCUCAUACAAAAGAUUAUGUAAUAGCUACUAAUUAGGUCGAUCCCUUUCCUUCUCAAUUCAUUUUGGCAAUUCCUUGCACACCUUCACGUUCACUGUAAUAUGUAGAUCUUCUUUCACUGAGAUGCGAACUUGAGAUUGAAUCAUGUGUGAUAUUUGUUCAGAUGUUUCGUUAGUUGCAAAGCUAACCAAAGAAGCGCUAGCUCUAGACGAUUGGCUGCUUUAUUCUUCUUUGACAACCCAUUCCCAAAAUCCACAUUUCUUACUGUAGCAAAGAAAUAAUUGCCCUUUAUUUUUAGUCUCCUUCUCCUUCUCCACCAUGAAACUCUUUUCAAAUCUAUGUUGGAUAGGAGUCUGCUGCAGAGGCUGAUUCUUGCGCCUUUUAAGUCGGCCCGUGGACAGUCAGCUAAGAAAUGCCCCUUAGAUCUACAACUGUGACAGAUUCCACAAUUCUUGUAGCCCAUUUUGCGAUGAGAACAUAUCACAGAGCAUCAACUCAAAUAGAAAACACUGUUGUUGAAAGGAAAAUAACACAAAGGAAUUUGUUGGCAAGCAAUAUUCUGCAUCAAUAAGAAAUUUAUAAGUAUUCCAACCACAGUUUCUCAUGAUCCCAGUGGUACACCAGCAAAUUUUAAUAGAGAGGCAGGUUCCAAACUUAAGCCAACAUCAUCAAACACCAAUUUAUAUGAUGCACAAGUGAAACUCAGAUUAAUUAUCCACUGAUUAUACUGAAACAUUGGUGCGAAAAUGGUUACAAGCGUCCACAUGGUCUUUAUAUAGGAAAUGCCUGAUGGCAUUUAGGGGACCAAUCUAGAUGACACACCGGAUUUAAUAAGUUAGGAGACACGUUUUGGCCCCAAAAAAGGAUUCAACCAAAUACUAUGUUUCACCAAAGAUCCGAUAUCAAUGCUAUCAAAUCUUACUUCAAUAAAGACCAAACUCCCUGUAAUUCGAUUUACCUCAACAUGGCAAAAAAUAAAAAUAAAAAUUGAGACGCAGGAGAUAAUGGAAAAACUAAACAUGAUAAUGAAAUUUCUAAUUGCGCCCAGCAGCUAUUACAUAGAUCCACAAUAGUGAAGCAAAAAUCCAAACUCGUGUGUAGAGAAAUUUGAUUGCUACCAAUUCAAAUGUGGUCUUCUACGUUUAACAUUUCAAAUAUAAAAAUAACAGAGCACUGGUAAAAUCUUCAAUCCAAGGGAAAAAAAAAGAAAAAAUCACAGGUAUAUGGAGAGAAUGAUAAAUAUAACUAAAACAGAUACGAUUUUUUUUUUCCAGAUUUUUUAUCAACAGACAUCUGAUCUGUAAAUAUGGACUCUAAAUCAACAUUAUGCAUUUAUACGCUUACCAGACGAGACUAAGAUUAGGUGGAAAUGAGAGUUUUCACAAGAUUUGUGAAAUUCAUUUGCAUGUGCGAGUGCGCUAGGGCUCGCUUGCGGCCGGAGAUCUUCAAGCACAUGCCGACCGGAGCUUGCUUUCUCCCUUCCGAGACUCGAAAUGGGUGGAUAUGGAGAUUUCUGUGAGUUGGGCAGUGAGGAAAUUUUGUCCAUUCGUGAGUGUAAUUUGGGGAAAGUGGGUGGAGAGAGUUUUCAGCCUUUGUUUUAUUAAUUUGGCAUCACGUGUUUCCGUUGGGAGAAGGCCAAAUUUCCC